This is an RNA transcript of Theobroma umbraticum, 1524 nucleotides long. RefSeq lists it as uncharacterized. Lineage: Eukaryota; Viridiplantae; Streptophyta; Magnoliopsida; Malvales; Malvaceae. The record is from RefSeq and is a predicted model, not a curated record.
UUUGCGAAUGAGCUAAACCCAAGGCGCCCGAAAGGUAUAUAAAGCGGGGGAGGGAAUCAAAGCGUUGCCUAGAAGAAAGAAAGAAGCAAAGGGGAAUGAUCCAAACCUGAAGUUGCCAGGGCUUUCCAAACCAAUCUCCUACAUUUUUCAAUGCUUAAGUCGAUGGGUUUUCUUUCAGGUUCCCUGGAGAAUCCCUUAGUUAUUUAAACCUCAUUUCUUUUCAUCUUCCCAUAUCACAAUCCUAGCUAGCCUUUCCUGGAUUCUGUCUUCGAUGCAGACCCAACGAGAAGGUCCUGUUAUGGAAGUGAAAAUGAAAUUGCUUGGAGAACUUGAAGCAUUCGGAUUUCCACGAGCCCGAGCAGUUCGAGCACUUCAUCAUUCAGGUAAUACUAGCCUUGAGGCUGCUGUAAAUUGGCUCAUUGAUCACGAUAAUGAUGAAGACAUUGAUCAGAUGCCCUUGGUAGCGAUAAACUUGGAUAUUGAGUCGCCUCAGCCAUCUGAUAUCACAGAAGCAAUAAAAAUUAAAGAACAGGAACUAAGGGCUCGAGUUCGCAUAAGGAAAGAAGAAGAAGAAAAGAAAAGUUCAACAGAACGGGAGAAGGAAAGGAUUCGAGCAGGUAAAGCAUUCCUUGAAGCAAAGAGAAUUGCAGAGGAAAAUGAACAACAACGCCUUUUAGCCUUGCGAAAAGCAGAGAAAGAGGAACAGAGAAGGGCAAGGGAGAAAGUGCUUCAGAAAUUAGAAGUGGAUAAGUUAGAAAGAAAGCGAGCACUUGGAUUGCCACUUGAAAGCCGAGCUGUGAAACCAUCUGGACCGAUUAUACAAGAAAGAAAGAGUUCUUUGCCUGCUAAGUCCGUUAAAAAGGAUGAGUCCAUGAGAGAAUGUCUAAGGUCUCUGAAGCGCACUUACAAGGAUGAUCAUGCCAGAGUUAAAAGGGCAUUCCAAACCCUAUUGAUUUAUGUCGGAAAUGUUGCAAGGAGGCCUGAUGAGGAAAAGUACAGGAAGAUUCGACUUGGUAACCCACACUUCCAGGAGAGGGUUGGGAGCCUGAAAGGAGGUAUUGAGUUUCUUGAGCUUUGUGGGUUUGAGAGAAGUGAAGGGAGCGAGUUCUUGAUUUUACCUGGUGGCAAGGUCGAUGUAGAAGUGCUUAACUCAGCUGGCUCUCUGUUAGGAUCUGCAAUCACAAAUCCCUUCUUUGGUCUUUUCGAACAGAUGAGAGAAGAUUAACGUUGCAAUAUGAGAUUCAAUUACAUUAGUUGAACGUGAAUGCUGAAAGGAUGACCAUAGAUGAAUAAAAUAUUGGAAUUUGUACCUACCUCUAUUGUAGAAACUUUUAUGGGUCUGAGUGUUCGCUAAUGUUUUACAAAGCAAUUGCAAGUGACUUGUGAAGAAAGUUUGGAAGCAAGUGUUUGAUGUAUGUUGUCUAUAGCAAGUGUUUGAUUAAGCAGCUGGGUUCCAAUGAGGUCACAAAGAAAAGCUUUCCAACUGUUACGUGCAAUGAAGAUUCAAGGCAAACCAAACUAAAG